Molecule: ribosomal RNA, 211 nt
Filed under: Clostridioides difficile
Lineage: Bacteria; Bacillati; Bacillota; Clostridia; Peptostreptococcales; Peptostreptococcaceae
Description: partial 23S ribosomal RNA
Rfam family: Bacterial large subunit ribosomal RNA
Source: RNAcentral
AGCACAUUUCUUGUGUGACCGCGUACUUUUUGUAGAACGGGCCAACGAGUUACGUUAAGUAGCAAGGUUAAGCACUUAAGGUGUGGAGCCGUAGCGAAAGCGAGUUUUAACUGAGCGUUCAGUUACUGGACGUAGACCCGAAACCGGGCGACCUACCCAUGAGCAGGAUGAAGCGAAAGUAAAAUUUCGUGGAGGUCCGAACCCACGAGCG